CCCCGCCUUUUUGGUUUUUUGUUAUGUUGACUUGUGUUUUAGCCUGUCUUUUCCUUUGUUUUCUGUCGAUGGCCAUGAGUUUAAUGACUGCUGUUUAUUCAGGUAAGCGCUUAAUACUGCUAGAAAAUGGGUUGGUAUGGACGGAGUGCGCAGUUUGAAUAAUAGGCAGUUUCCUGUACCCUAGCUUGUUAUUGGUAUUACUGAGGAUGCCGAAUCCCAAUUUGUGAAUGCGUGCGAGCAUACUUUUUCCGGUUUGGAGCUGGGGUUCCACGGGUGCAGGAGCUUGAGGUGGUGGUGUCACUUCAUCAUUUGCUGUGGACACGUUUGUGUGUGCAGUGAGUGUGUCGGGGUGUGUGUGUGUGUGGAGGUGUAAGUGUGCUUUUGGCUAAAUUCAGCACUGGUGAUCACUCCCGUGGGUGACCUCAGCCCUUUACCAUUGGAGAGUGCUGCCGGCAGUAGGUGAUGAGGAUUCAAUGUGACUUUUAAAUGGUGAAACAAUUGUGAAAAUAAAUUUUGUACUUUCAUACUUUACUCACGUCUCUCACCUAUUCAUAUGAGAAUUGAACCUGUGUGGCCAAAUAGUCAUAUUUGAGCU
This is a long non-coding RNA of Puntigrus tetrazona (Sumatra barb), 595 nucleotides long. RefSeq lists it as uncharacterized. The record is from RefSeq and is a predicted model, not a curated record. NCBI's taxonomy places the organism in Eukaryota, Metazoa, Chordata, Actinopteri, Cypriniformes, Cyprinidae. The transcript has 4 exons.